AGAGUUUGAUCCUGGCUCAGGACGAACGCUGGCGGCGUGCCUAACACAUGCAAGUCGAGCGGAGACAGUGUGUAGCUUGCUAUGAGCUGUUUUAGCGGCGGACGGGUGAGUAACGCGUGAGCAACCUUUCCCAGACAGGGGAAUAACACACCGAAAGGUGUACUAAUACCGCAUAAGACCACGGGAUCACAUGGUUCUGGGGUAAAAGAUUUAUCGGUUUGGGGUGGGCUCGCGUCCGAUUAGGUAGUUGGUGAGGUAACGGCCCACCAAGCCGACGAUCGGUAGCCGACCUGAGAGGGUGAUCGGCCACAUUGGGACUGAGACACGGCCCAAACCCCUACGGGAGGCAGCAGUGGGGAAUAUUGGGCAAUGGAGGAAACUCUGACCCAGCAACGCCGCGUGGAGGAAGAAGGUUUUCGGAUCGUAAACUCCUGUCCUUGGAGACGAGUAGAAGACGGUAUCCAAGGAGGAAGCCCCGGCUAACUACGUGCCAGCAGCCGCGGUAAUACGUAGGGGGCAAGCGUUGUCCGGAAUAAUUGGGCGUAAAGGGCGCGUAGGCGGCUCGGUAAGUCUGGAGUGAAAGUCCUGCUUUUAAGGUGGGAAUUGCUUUGGAUACUGUCGGGCUUGAGUGCAGGAGAGGUUAGUGGAAUUCCCAGUGUAGCGGUGAAAUGCGUAGAUAUUAGGAGGAACACCAGUGGCGAAGGCGGCCAACUGGGCUUUUACUGACGCUGAGGCUCGAAAGUGUGGGGAGCAAACAGGAUUAGAUACCCUGGUAGUCCACACCGUAAACGAUGAUUACUAGGUGUGGGGGGACUGACCCCUUCCGUGCCGGAGUUAACACAAUAAGUAAUCCACCUGGGGAGUACGGCCGCAAGGUUGAAACUCAAAGGAAUUGACGGGGGCCCGCACAAGCAGUGGAGUAUGUGGUUUAAUUCGACGCAACGCGAAGAACCUUACCAGGUCUUGACAUCGUAUGCAUAGUGUAGAGAUACACGAAGUCCUUCGGGACAUACAGACAGGUGGUGCAUGGUUGUCGUCAGCUCGUGUCGUGAGAUGUUGGGUUAAGUCCCGCAACGAGCGCAACCCUUGUAUUUAGUUGCUACGCAAGAGCACUCUAGAUAGACUGCCGUGGACAACACGGAGGAAGGUGGGGAUGACGUCAAAUCAUCAUGCCCCUUAUGACCUGGGCUACACACGUACUACAAUGGCAAUAGAACAGAGGGAAGCGACUCAGCGAUGAGAAGCAGAUCCCGAAAAAUUGUCUCAGUUCGGAUUGCAGGCUGCAACCCGCCUGCAUGAAGUCGGAAUUGCUAGUAAUCGCGGAUCAGCAUGCCGCGGUGAAUACGUUCCCGGGCCUUGUACACACCGCCCGUCACACCAUGGGAGUCGGUAACACCCGAAGCCCGUAGCCUAACAGCAAUGAGGGCGCGGUCGAAGGUGGGAUUGAUGACUGGGGUGAAGUCGUAACAAGGUA
This 1474-nucleotide ribosomal RNA is filed under the name metagenome. RNAcentral's name for it is "bacterial SSU rRNA". It matches the Rfam family "Bacterial small subunit ribosomal RNA". The record is from RNAcentral.